This 32-nucleotide non-coding RNA is filed under the name Mus musculus (house mouse). Lineage: Eukaryota; Metazoa; Chordata; Mammalia; Rodentia; Muridae. The record is from RNAcentral.
AUCCUGUGUUGAUGCAGAUAACGUUUUGGUGU